UACGUAGGGGGCUAGCGUUGUCCGGAAUCAUUGGGCGUAAAGAGCGUGUAGGCGGUCCGGUAAGUCCGCUGUGAAAGUCGGGGGCUCAACCCUCGAAUGCCGGUGGAUACUGUCGGGCUUGAGUACGGAAGAGGCGAGUGGAAUUCCUGGUGUAGCGGUGAAAUGCGCAGAUAUCAGGAGGAACACCAAUUGCGAAGGCAGCUCGCUGGGACGUUACUGACGCUGAGACGCGAAAGCGUGGGGAGCAAACCGG
Molecule: ribosomal RNA, 253 nt
Filed under: uncultured bacterium
Lineage: Bacteria
Description: partial 16S ribosomal RNA
Rfam family: Bacterial small subunit ribosomal RNA
Source: RNAcentral